CUCUGCUGAAACACGUUUUCCACAUGGGACUUUAUUACUCUUGGCUCUUGUCAUUGCCUUGAAUAAUAGAUUUGAGUCGACACUCAAAUCAAGUUCCAAUUCAAGCGAAUCCGAGUACAUUUUAGAGUGGAGAUGUGAACGAGGAUUGAGGCAAGCAAUGAAGACGAGAAGGCGGAGUGGAAAAGCAUGCCAGAGGAUAUUUAUUGAGUGCCAACUCCCUGCCAGGCAUUGUGCUGGACAUUCAGAACUAAAGAGUAAACAACAGAGAUUCUCUGUGGAACAGUACCAUGGGGGUGCUGUGAGAAAUUAAAUCCAAAAUGCAAAGGGAGCACAGAGUCCCCAUCCAGGAGCCCACCCAGGGUCACCUCAUUGAACAAAAACAUUCCUAUCACCCAGGAAAGAUUGGUGCUUUAUCCAUUAUGUACAUUAAUAAAAUAGGUAAGUCUAAGUGAGUUUGUUGUUUUUGUAACUUUUGUCUCUCAUUUAUUCACUUG
Bos taurus (domestic cattle) is the source of this 494-nucleotide long non-coding RNA. Lineage: Eukaryota; Metazoa; Chordata; Mammalia; Artiodactyla; Bovidae. The record is from Ensembl.